CAAACUGGCUCGUCUGGCAUCUUCUAAAUCAUCUCAAGAAAAGCUCGAAGAUCUGUGUAAAUUUUUCGCCCCUGACCCAUCUUUAUCCGUGGCGCCAAACUUUGCUUGAAUCUAGAAAUUAUUAGUACAGCCGUGGGUUAAAACCUUUUUUAUGGAAACUUAAAUGGAGUAGGAUAUCUUGUAAAGAUUUUUUUAGCAAACCAUGAUAUUAUCGAAGCAAGGGUCUCCCAUUGCGAUCAGUGCC
This 244-nucleotide long non-coding RNA is filed under the name Elaeis guineensis (African oil palm). RNAcentral's name for it is "long non-coding RNA (EGUI_LNC040815)". Lineage: Eukaryota; Viridiplantae; Streptophyta; Magnoliopsida; Arecales; Arecaceae. The record is from RNAcentral.